UAUAAUUUAAGGACUUGGGAGUAUUUUUCUUCUCCUAAACCCUUCACAUUCCCGUAUUCUACCGGCUCUAAUGGCAACUCGCGCCUUUUCAAAAUCGAAGUUCCCAAUUUUAACGUCAAUCCGCAUUCAAAACCUCACGAAAAACAGUAUUACGAGGUCCCCGUUUCUUGUAAAACCUCAAAUUCCACCUGUACAACCCGAUUUCCAUAAACCCAUUUCAGGGUUUAAGCAAUAUCAUGAUGGGAGACCGAGAGGUCCCCUUUGGAAAGGCAAAAAGCUGAUAGGGAAAGAAGCCCUUUUUGUAAUAUUGGGUUUAAAGAGAUUUAAGGAUGAUGAAGAUAAAGUUCUGAAAUUUAUCAAAACCCAUGUUUUAAGGCUAUUGAAGAUGGAUUUGAUUGCUGUUCUUUCAGAGCUUGAACGUCAAGAGGAGACUUCUCUGGCUGUAAAGGUUUUUGAGGUGAUUCAAAAGCAAGACUGGUAUACACCUGACGUCUAUUUGUAUAAGGACUUGAUUAUUGCAUUAGCGAGAUGCAGGAAAAUGGAUGAAGCAAUGAAGUUAUGGGGAUCUAUGAGAAAGGAAAAUCUGUUCCCUGAUUCUCAGGCAUACACCGAGAUCAUUAGGGGAUUCCUGAGGGACGGUUCUCCUGCCGAUGCAAUGAACAUAUAUGAGGAUAUGAUAAAAUCUCCGGAUCCACCAGAGGAGUUGCCAUUCAGGAUUUUACUAAAGGGGCUUCUGCCACAUCCUCUUUUGAGGAACAAAGUUAAGAAAGAUUUUGAGGAGCUCUUUCCAGAAAAGCAUGCUUAUGAUCCUCCAGAAGAAAUUUUUGGCAGAUGUUGAGGAUGUUGGCAUCAGCUAUUACCUCUGUUGAACCAGUGCUUCUUGUGCACUCAAAUGUGUUACUUAUUAGGGCUUCAAAUGAGUGAUCUUGACUGCAUAGGGUUGAUAGAAACUCGUACGGUUAAGACAGCAAUGCUUUACAAGGAGGAAGCAAAGAAUGAGUUACUCCAUUGAAGAAGAUCUUAUAUUGGAGAUAAUUCCUGUUCAGAGAUAGCAUGGUCGACAUGUCUGUGUCAUUAAGGAGUUCUCCCAUCUUAAGACUGCGGUGUACCUUAGAACAUGUCUUGGACUCAUUCACGUUAAAGUUUGCCCUUGAUUUAUUGCUAGAUGCACAUGGAAGAUGGAUAACAUUUGUUGGGCUCAUUCUUGAGACCUAACAGUUGCUGUAUAAUGUCCUGUUCAUGUUAUAAUGGUGACAAUGUUUAUAUUUACAUUAUAACUCGUAUUAUAAAUUUGUUUGAUGGUCAUGCUA
RNA transcript from Gossypium raimondii (Peruvian cotton), 1310 nucleotides. It is a transcript of the gene named protein THYLAKOID ASSEMBLY 8-like, chloroplastic, with no coding region annotated. The record is from RefSeq and is a predicted model, not a curated record. Lineage: Eukaryota; Viridiplantae; Streptophyta; Magnoliopsida; Malvales; Malvaceae. The transcript is spliced from 4 exons.